Etheostoma spectabile (orangethroat darter) is the source of this 818-nucleotide non-coding RNA. NCBI's taxonomy places the organism in Eukaryota, Metazoa, Chordata, Actinopteri, Perciformes, Percidae. The record is from the annotation of a RefSeq genome assembly.
AACUCAGCUUAAUCUUUUCUCAUCACUGGUUUAUAAUAAGAAAAGGAAUAAACUGCUCCCAGACAUCUGCUUUUGUGGUUGAACUUUGGUUUGAAGCAAUCAUAUCAUCAUCAGCUACUAAAAGUGUGCUGUGUUAACCAGCCAAGCAAUUAGUUACACUUUAACAAGUACCGUAAUAAAAUCUGUCAAAAGAAAAAACCUCUUGUGUGGGAAUCAAGGAAGAGCGUCUCAGCUUAAUGUGGAACAUGAAGCCACUCCUCCUUUCUACAUCGCGUUUGCUUCCUACUUAAUGUGAUUCUGUUUAAGGACAAAACACAAGCAGAAGAGGCGCUGUCAUAACUUAAUACCAAGUUUGAUACAUGACUUCAGAAUAACUGUCUCUACAUGAUGAUUAGAUUUCUCUUUUGUCAUCUCCUCACAGCAGGUAUUUCUCUGGGGGUUCAGGUCCAUCAGUCUCCCUCGGCUGCGAUCAGGAAGGCCGGUGAUGAUGUGCAGCUCAUCUGCACUCACGGACAAGCUGACUACACCGUGAUGCUGUGGUACCAGCAGGCGCCUGGAGACAAGGCUCUGAAACUCAUUGGACAUGUAGAAUAUAGUAGGAUAAGCUAUGAAGAAUCGUAUGGAGAGCAUUUCAAUAUCACUGGAGAUCUUAGUGGAAACACGGCAAAGAAUGUCUCUCUCUUCAUAGUGGACCUAAAAGAGUUGGAGCACAGUGCACUGUACUACUGUGCAGCUCGAUACACACGUUGAGGAGAAUCUCCUUUCAACUAUACAAAAACACCACACUUUAUCAACUGUGGUUUUUGUCGUCAACAGCC